Anas platyrhynchos (mallard) is the source of this 755-nucleotide non-coding RNA. Lineage: Eukaryota; Metazoa; Chordata; Aves; Anseriformes; Anatidae. The record is from RefSeq and is a predicted model, not a curated record.
GAUUCGAUUUGGGUCAACUGAAUACUCAGCUAAGACGUCAGGCUGCAAAAAAUGCUUUGUAGCACGAAGAGCAUCAUGGAAUUGCUCAGGGAAGCACACCUCUGGUACCAGCCUGUAUCUACAAAAGAAGAAAAGAGGUGGUGCAAGAGGGGCAGCAAAGGGCGAGCCAAAGGACUGUUGGGACUCUGAUGCAGAGACUGGCCCCUAAAAAUAGUGCACUUUAUAUAGCUCCUUUGAGUUUCUAGAGGUCAAGUGGCAAUGAAUGUACAAUCACCCACAUAUUCUCCAGAACCUUUACCACAGAAAUGAUGAGUCCACUAUGGCAGAACUUGUUCCAGAUCUACGGGAAACCCGGCCCAUGGCAGGGGGUGUGGGAAGCUGAAGACCUGGCUGAGAAUUCCUUUGCGAGGAUGCAACAAAAGGAGAGCAUGGGAAAAAGCCGGUAAGGGUUAUCCUGGAACCGUUGAAUGGUGAUGAGCUUUCAAGGUCACAGAAGGACCUCAGGUUAGGUUUUACUCUGUCUGUAUGUCACUGAUGCCGUUGCAUAAUAUAAAGCGCAGUUACUGUAUGACUAAUACUUGGCUGACUGAGGUGUCAAAAUUGAAACGACCGCCUUGACUUCCGCGCUGCUAUUGAUACCUUUUCCUUAAGAAAAUAAUCCUUAUUUAUGUGUACCUCACCAGCAAAUCUUCACAUAAACAACACCUGCUACCGUCUUUAUUUGCGUUUUCCUCUUCUACUUUCUUCCAAAUCAU